AGUCGAGCGAUGAACACCUUCGGGUGUGAAUUAGCGGCGAACGGGUGAGGAACACGUGAAGAAUCUGCCUUCAACUCUGGGAUAACUCCGGGAAACCGGGGCUAAUACCGGAUAUGAGCCUCGAUCGCAUGAUUGGGGCUGGAAAGUUUUUCGGUUGAAGAUGACUUCGCGGCCUAUCAGCUUGUUGGUGAGGUAAUGGCUCACCAAGGCGACGACGGGUAGCCGGCCUGAGAGGGCGACCGGCCACACUGGGACUGAGACACGGCCCAGACUCCUACGGGAGGCAGCAGUGGGGAAUAUUGGGCAAUGGAGGAAACUCUGACCCAGCGACGCCGCGUGAGGGAUGAAGGCCUUCGGGUUGUAAACCUCUUUCAGUAGGGAAGAAGCGAAAGUGACGGUACCUACAGAAGAAGCACCGGCUAACUAUGUGCCAGCAGCCGCGGUAAUACAUAGGGUGCAAGCGUUGUCCGGAAUUAUUGGGCGUAAAGAGCUCGUAGGUGGUUCGAUACGUCGGAUGUGAAAAUCAGGGGCUCAACCCCUGACCUGCAUCCGAUACGGUCGAGCUAGAGUUUGGUAGGGGAGACUGGAAUUCCUGGUGUAGCGGUGGAAUGCGCAGAUAUCAGGAGGAACACCGAUGGCGAAGGCAGGUCUCUGGGCCAAUACUGACACUGAGGAGCGAAAGCGUGGGGAGCGAACAGGAUUAGAUACCCUGGUAGUCCACGCCGUAAACGGUGGGCGCUAGUUGUGCGAACCUUCCACGGUUUGUGCGACGCAGCUAACGCAUUAAGCGCCCCGCCUGGGGAGUACGAUCGCAAGAUUAAAACUCAAAGGAAUUGACGGGGCCCCGCACAAGCAGCGGAGCAUGCGGCUUAAUUCGACGCAACGCGAAGAA
RNAcentral lists this ribosomal RNA (892 nucleotides) under uncultured bacterium. RNAcentral's name for it is "bacterial SSU rRNA". It matches the Rfam family "Bacterial small subunit ribosomal RNA", at positions 60 to 968 of the family's 1533-position model. The record is from RNAcentral.